Molecule: ribosomal RNA, 253 nt
Filed under: uncultured bacterium
Lineage: Bacteria
Description: partial 16S ribosomal RNA
Rfam family: Bacterial small subunit ribosomal RNA
Source: RNAcentral
UACAGAGGUCUCAAGCGUUGUUCGGAUUCAUUGGGCGUAAAGGGUGCGUAGGCGGCGCGGUAAGUCGGGUGUGAAAUCUCGGAGCUUAACUCCGAAACUGCAUUCGAUACUGCCGUGCUUGAGGACUGGAGAGGAGACUGGAAUUUACGGUGUAGCGGUGAAAUGCGUAGAUAUCGUAAGGAAGACCAGUGGCGAAGGCGGGUCUCUGGACAGUUCCUGACGCUGAGGCACGAAGGCAAGGGGAGCAAACAGG